This 2005-nucleotide long non-coding RNA is filed under the name Haliotis rufescens (red abalone). Its description in RNAcentral is "uncharacterized LOC125378537". The record is from RNAcentral. Lineage: Eukaryota; Metazoa; Mollusca; Gastropoda; Lepetellida; Haliotidae.
UAGGUCAUGCAGCAAAACAGUUUGUAGACAAGCACGUCUUACCGGAGGUUCCUCAACAGCCAGGUCAUGGUCUCCAAAUCAAACACACUAGCCUGCAGGUACUGUGGAAAACUGUACCAGAGACCAAAAGCUCUCCGCAAACACGAAGCAUCCGGAAUAUAAUGCUGAAAACAAUCAGGAUUCCACAUCUUCAGCAGAAUCAAGAUCAUCUAUUUAUCAGUACACCCGUCUGUCUCUCAUGCUUGGGCUUCUUCGAAUAAAUCGCAACGAUUCCAUUCACAUGGGAGAUGGUGGCAGGCAUGAUGAGACUAGUAAAGUGGUUCUGUUUAUACUACAAGGCAAGCAAAUGUCCAAAGUAUGCAUAUGGUCUCCUUUGAAACACAGGCAAAGGCAUAUGCUCUCCUAUAUGAACGGCAGGCUUUAUAGAUUGAUAUGGAACCGCACAGUCAACCAUCAAGGCAGAGAAGACACCAAUCAUCCCAUCGACCUUGACUUGGAGCAUUGCAACAGGGCUUUCAAAGAUGAUGUACACACAUACAAGGGGAGGUACACAGAUAAAAGACGAUUCUCAAAGUCAGCAGAAGUGCGCUGUCAAUGGAAGAAUUAUGCCAAAAAUACGACAAAUUGGCAUUCCGCAAGAAAUGUUCGGGAAGGCAUGGAGUUGUUGAUCCUUCUUGGUGAUAUUCUUAAACUUGUAGAACAAUUCCAUUCCUAUGCAGCUCUAUUCAAUGAGGCCAACAAGCCACUGCCACAGAGAAAUCAAAAACAUGCUGAGUGACAUCCAAAAUUGGAUUUCAGAAAGUCUUAAAGUCUUCAGUAGCCGCACAUACUAUAACAUCUGAACCUUUUUUCCCGAUGUGUAAUUCAGUGUCACAUGAUUAAAACGAGACCCUGUUGCAAAGUCGCUAUCACUGUAUGUUUCAUGAUCUUCAUGUUCUGAGUCUGAGUGAGAUGAUGAGCUAUCACUCGAGUCAAGGGAAGUUUUGUACAACUCAAGAAUAUCACAUCUACAUUCACUACAUGGGGUAAUUGCAUGUCCAUGAGUCUCUGCAGUCACAGAGACACUUGCAAGAUAUGGCACAGUUGUCCAUAGCACUCAUGACUUCAGUAAAGCUCAACUCGUCGACAUACGUUGGUUCUGACAUACUGUUUCAUUUCAUCCGAAAUAUUCCGCCUGCCACUGAGACAUCGUCUAAAUUUCAUGAGAAGAGCAUGUGCCUGCUUUUCUGGAUCCCUGCCUGCUCCGUCCUUGUCUCUUGAAUAUAAUCCUCAACAUUAUUGGCUGGACCAUAGUGGAUGACGGUUUCCACACUUUCUUAGCAUUGUGUAUACACAACGUAAUUAACGGAUUCUGACAUCAGCCACAUAUCUCGGACCACCCCACGAGUCUCUCUUAACCGUUCAAUUAACGUUCCGCUUGGUGUUGCCACACCUGUCCGCCAUCUGCUGUUGAGAUACUGUAACGGUUCUCGUCUGAAAAGAGGACUUCCCCCACUGCUGGUGCUGUGCUACCCACUGAAGACGGUCCAGGAAACAAAGAAGAAGACUGAAAGGAUACCACUGGGAGUGCUUCAGUGAGGACCUCAGUGACCGUUCUCCAUCACAGUAGGUGCUCAGCGGAGGGGACUACCUCACCCUUGAGAGGCAGAAACAAGCCAAUCAUGCACUUACGAGAUGGACCUACACCAAGUUCCAGAUUACAAGGACUUGUUCCAAAGAUGGAAGAGUUCCAUAACGAAGCUGAAUUUCUAAAGGUUAUAUGGAAACACUUGUACUCGUCCUCCUCUAACAAGCCUGUUUGGCACUCUGCAUGCUGCAAAGGAGCACAAUAAAUGCGGUGAAUGUUACUCAGGAUCCUCAUGACAACUUUUACCCAUGCUCUGAAUUCAUGGACAAGGUCACCACCGCCUACAUCGUAACUGGGGGACUACAUUACUUCCAAAUGGAACACCUCACUUCUGUCCCAACGUCAAGUUACAUGGGUGCUGUUGGCAAUCCAUAUAAA